Long non-coding RNA from Mesocricetus auratus (golden hamster), 1059 nucleotides. RefSeq lists it as uncharacterized. NCBI's taxonomy places the organism in Eukaryota, Metazoa, Chordata, Mammalia, Rodentia, Cricetidae. The record is from RefSeq and is a predicted model, not a curated record. The transcript is spliced from 2 exons.
UUAAUAUGGGCAGGAACUAUCCAAUCAGCCAUGGACUGGAGAAACAGAAAUAUUUGAAUGUCUUUCCAUCUGUCUCUAGGACGAGGGAUGUACACCUUCCUUCUGCCCUUGAGAAUUGCAUCUCCAGGCUCUCUUUGAAUUCUAGGAGCUACACCAGAGGCCCUUGCCAGAGCCCAGGUUGCCAGGCCUUUUGCUUUAGGCUGAGAAUCACACCAGCGGCUUUCCUGAUGCUGAAGCAUUCAGAGUUGGACUGAGCCAAGCUCCAAUGUUCCCGGGUCUCCAGCUUGCAGAUGACCUGUCAUAUGACUUCUCAGUCUAUACAACUACGUAAAGCCCAGGGCCCAGGGCGGGGACACUGGGGCUUCUGAACACGGGCCCUGAACGGAGGAUGGAGGAGGAUGCUCACAUCAACUCUCUUCCUGUGAUGCAAGAAGGAAAGGUGUCCUCCCUUCCAGUGGCUCCACUUAGGAAUGAACCAUAGUAGGAGAGUCUCUUUAGCCCCUGAGUACAGAUACUAUACACCUCCAGGAGGCCAUGCGAUACCUGAAUAGGAGACAGUCUCUGGUGUGAGUUUCCUUGAAGACAAACUCUAUUUCUGCUUCUUACUAGCUCCAAACAAGUCAGACAAUAGCCAAAGAAGCUACCACCGGCCCUGUGAGGAUUAACAGGCUGCUACAUGCUUCAGCUGUGGAUGUUAUUUACAGUGUUUGCUCAAAUCAUCUCAGGAACUAUCCGGAAUGCAUCUGGCUAUAAGAGCGUGUUGGAGAUUGGUCAUCUCUCCAACCCUACGUGGGCUCAGACCAGAUCCAAAAUGGUAGGGACGGGCCUGAGCCUGGGCCUGGGACUGGGAGUAGGGUGGAGGCUGCUAUAGGCCAGUGACUAGCUAAGAAGAGGUUGGGGGGUGGGGUGGGUGAGCUGACUCCUUGUCUCCAAGUAGGAGGUUGCCUGGAUCUUGGGCAGGCCUGCCCUUCUGGUUUGGGCUACUCAGCUUUUUACUGCUGUCCUCGGGGACAAGCUAUUUUAGGUAGCAGUCAAAAUAAAACUGAGAUUAACCCAGAA